This 373-nucleotide ribosomal RNA is filed under the name uncultured organism. RNAcentral's name for it is "bacterial SSU rRNA". It matches the Rfam family "Bacterial small subunit ribosomal RNA", at positions 525 to 896 of the family's 1533-position model. The record is from RNAcentral.
ACAGAGGUCUCAAGCGUUGUUCGGAUUCAUUGGGCGUAAAGGGUGCGUAGGUGGCGCCGUAAGUCAGGUGUGAAAUCUCGGGGCUCAACCCCGAAACUGCACUUGAUACUGCGGUGCUUGAGUACUGGAGAGGAGAUUGGAAUUUACGGUGUAGCAGUGAAAUGCGUAGAUAUCGUAAGGAAGACCAGUGGCGAAGGCGAAUCUCUGGACAGUUACUGACACUGAGGCACGAAGGCCAGGGGAGCAAACGGGAUUAGAUACCCCGGUAGUCCUGGCAGUAAACGGUGCGCGUUUGGUGUGGGAGGAUUCGACCCCUUCUGUGCCGGAGCUAACGCGUUAAACGCGCCGCCUGGGGAGUACGGUCGCAAGAUUA